GGCGCUACCAUGCAGUCGAGCGAACCUUCGGGUUAGCGGCGGACGGGUGAGUAACGCGUGGGAACGUACCCUCUUCUGCGGGAUAGCCACUGGAAACGGUGAGUAAUACCGCAUACGCCCUUCGGGGGAAAGAUUUAUCGGAGGAGGAUCGGCCCGCGUUGGAUUAGGUAGUUGGUGGGGUAAUGGCCUACCAAGCCUACGAUCCAUAGCUGGUUUUAGAGGAUGAUCAGCCACACUGGGACUGAGACACGGCCCAGACUCCUACGGGAGGCAGCAGUGGGGAAUCUUAGACAAUGGGCGCAAGCCUGAUCUAGCCAUGCCGCGUGAGUGACGAAGGCCUUAGGGUCGUAAAGCUCUUUCGCCAGAGAUGAUAAUGACAGUAUCUGGUAAAGAAACCCCGGCUAACUCCGUGCCAGCAGCCGCGGUAAUACGGAGGGGGUUAGCGUUGUUCGGAAUUACUGGGCGUAAAGCGCACGUAGGCGGAUUGGAAAGUUGGGGGUGAAAUCCCAGGGCUCAACCCUGGAACUGCCUCCAAAACUCCCAGUCUGGAGUUCGAGAGAGGUGAGUGGAAUUCCGAGUGUAGAGGUGAAAUUCGUAGAUAUUCGGAGGAACACCAGUGGCGAAGGCGGCUCACUGGCUCGAUACUGACGCUGAGGUGCG
This 660-nucleotide ribosomal RNA is filed under the name Roseovarius sp. Its description in RNAcentral is "bacterial SSU rRNA". It matches the Rfam family "Bacterial small subunit ribosomal RNA", at positions 45 to 755 of the family's 1533-position model. The record is from RNAcentral. Lineage: Bacteria; Pseudomonadati; Pseudomonadota; Alphaproteobacteria; Rhodobacterales; Roseobacteraceae.